GGCGGGGCCGGUUUCGGCGGGCGGCGGAGGCGCGGACGGUACAGAGCUGCUGCCAUUUCAAGAUGGCGAAGCGCCCGCGUAGCAGGACCCUGCAUGAACCGGGCCGGGCUCCGGCCACACACAAGAUGGCGGCCGCGGCAGGACUCCGGAAGAGACGUCGCCGCCGCUCCCUGCCGCUGUUCGCGGGGCUCCGGUGCCGCUGACCCCGCCAACCGUUUUUCUCCCGCCGGGAAAAGCAGCAGAAAAUGGCGCUGAGAGCGCGGGAUCGGCGUCGGGACCGGGUUGAGGCAGCCGGCAAGAGAAACGCCUGUCUAGAAAGGAAAACCAAGAUCAGUAAUACACGGAAAGAAAGAAAGAAACGCACUGAGCGGCUCCAAGUUCGGCCGAAGCGAGCCGAGCCGCGCCGAAGAGGCGAAUGCAGCCGACAAAAGCCGAGUUUAGCCGAUAAUAGCCGAAUUUAGCCGAGCAGCUGUGAGCCUUGUGGACAACGCGAAGACUGAAAGUGUAAGAAGAUGUGGAGGGAAACAGAGAAUCUGACACGAGCAUCGAAUGCACGAGUGCACGAAUUUUGCUUUUUGCUUGGAUUUAAACUCAGAAGUUGAAAGGAAUUUGGGAAUGAGAAGGGAUAUUUCAGAAGGAGAAGAAGUUGUUGUAACAGUCCUGGCAAAAUCUUUUGUUCUAGCUAAUAAAAGAAGUUAGUUUAAAUAAAUAAAUAAAAAAGUGUGGUUUUU
Molecule: long non-coding RNA, 731 nt
Organism: Melospiza melodia melodia
Lineage: Eukaryota; Metazoa; Chordata; Aves; Passeriformes; Passerellidae
Exons: 3
Source: RefSeq, a predicted model, not a curated record